GCUGGGCAUGGUGGUGCGUGCCUGUAAUCCUAGCUACUCGGGAGGCUGAGACAGGAGAAUCGCUUGAACCCAGGAGGGAGAGGUUGCAGUGAGCCGAGAUCACGUCACUGCACUCCAGCCUGGGCAACAGAGUGAGACUCUGUCUCAA
Non-coding RNA from Gorilla gorilla gorilla (western lowland gorilla), 148 nucleotides. It matches the Rfam family "Metazoan signal recognition particle RNA". Rfam says of the family: The signal recognition particle (SRP) is a universally conserved ribonucleoprotein. It is involved in the co-translational targeting of proteins to membranes. The record is from Rfam. Lineage: Eukaryota; Metazoa; Chordata; Mammalia; Primates; Hominidae.